CAGUCGCCGCGGGAAUACGUAGGGUGCAAGCGUUAAUCGGAAUUACUGGGCGUAAAGCGUGCGCAGGCGGUUUUGUAAGACAGAGGUGAAAUCCCCGGGCUCAACCUGGGAACUGCCUUUGUGACUGCAAGGCUAGAGUACGGCAGAGGGGGAUGGAAUUCCGCGUGUAGCAGUGAAAUGCGUAGAUAUGCGGAGGAACACCGAUGGCGAAGGCAAUCCCCUGGGCCUGUACUGACGCUCAUGCACGAAAGCGUGGGGAGCAAACAGGAUUAGAGACCCCUGUAGUCCCUGUCUCUUAUAC
Molecule: ribosomal RNA, 301 nt
Filed under: uncultured bacterium
Lineage: Bacteria
Description: partial 16S ribosomal RNA
Rfam family: Bacterial small subunit ribosomal RNA
Source: RNAcentral